GUCUGUUUUAGAUGUUAUUCGCAACCCGAGAAAUAACAACACUAUAUUUUUCCUUAAAUUGAAUUUGUAGUCGGCCAGGACUUUCAACCAGGCUUCACUUUCAAUGCUGUAACCCCUGGUUAAAGAUAGAUUCGUCUGUAAAAUCUGGGUCAUUGCGUCAAAUUGCUUUGCCGUUGUGAUUUUAACUCUAAAUAUGUGAAAUUUUAUCCUAUUUACAUAUAUAAAAAUAAAUAUUUGUAUGUA
Long non-coding RNA from Musca domestica (house fly), 243 nucleotides. RefSeq lists it as uncharacterized. The transcript is spliced from 2 exons. NCBI's taxonomy places the organism in Eukaryota, Metazoa, Arthropoda, Insecta, Diptera, Muscidae. The record is from RefSeq and is a predicted model, not a curated record.